AAACAUGGUUCUUUGAGAAAGAUAAAGAAUCGGGCCUGCCCGGUGGCAUUACUUAGCUUAACGGCCGCAGUAUAUUGACUGUGCAAAGGUAGCAUAAUCAUUUGCCUUUUAAUUGGAGGCUGGUAUGAAUGGUUUGACAAGAAUAGAGCUGUCUCUAGGAGAUUAUAUAGAAAUUAGUCUUUAGGUGAAGAAACCUAAAUAUAAUUAAAAGACGAGAAGACCCUGUCGAGCUUUAUAGAAAUAUUUGGAGCAGUUGAGGAUUUAUCUUGCUGGUUAAGAUUUAUUUAAGUGAUAAUAUUAAUAGGGUUAUUAAGAUUAUAGUUUAUAACUUAUUCCUGUAAGAUUUUUAGUUGGGGCAACUUAGGAACAAGAAAAACUUCCUAAAGACAGUGUGUUAAGAAGAAUGUUAUAAAAGAGUUCAAAAUGCUUAGGACUGUGAGUAUUAGUAACUCUACAAAGUAAAUUUUUCAGAAAGAUGAGCCACUAUUUAAGUGACUAUAGGAAUAAGCUACCGCAGGGAUAACAGCGUAAUUUUCUUAGAGAGUUCAAAUCGAUAAGGAAGUUUGCGACCUCGAUGUUGGAUUAAAGUAACCUGAAGAUGUAGAAGUCUUUAAAAAUUAUUUGGGUUGGUCUGUUCGACCAUUAAAACUUUACAUGAUCUGA
This 663-nucleotide ribosomal RNA is filed under the name Rissoina crassa. RNAcentral describes it as "partial 16S ribosomal RNA". It matches the Rfam family "Bacterial large subunit ribosomal RNA", at positions 1811 to 2608 of the family's 2925-position model. The record is from RNAcentral. Lineage: Eukaryota; Metazoa; Mollusca; Gastropoda; Littorinimorpha; Hydrobiidae.